RNAcentral lists this ribosomal RNA (432 nucleotides) under uncultured bacterium. RNAcentral's name for it is "partial 16S ribosomal RNA". It matches the Rfam family "Bacterial small subunit ribosomal RNA", at positions 29 to 506 of the family's 1533-position model. The record is from RNAcentral.
AACGAACGCUGGCGGCAUGCCUAACACAUGCAAGUCGAACGAGACCUUCGGGUCUAGUGGCGCUCGGCGGCGUAACGCGGGGGAACCUGCCCUUAGGUUACGAAUAACUCCCUGAAGGGGAUGUUCAUAACGGAGAAUGUCUUCGGACCAAAGAGUUAUCGCCUGUUGGUGGGCCCGCGUUGGAUUAGCUAGUUGGUAGGGUACAAGCGUACCAAGACGGCGAUCCGUGGCUGGUCUGAGAGGAGGCUCAGCCACACUGGGACUGGGACACGGCCCAGACGCGUGCGAGAGGCAGCAGUGGGGAAUAUAGGGGCGUGAGCGAGAGCCAGAACCAGCAAGGCCGCGUGAACGAUGAAGGGGUUAGAGUUGUAAUGCUCCUGUACCCGGGAUGAUGAGGAGGGAACGGGUAGAGUAAACCCGGGCUAAUACCGU